Molecule: unclassified non-coding RNA, 263 nt
Filed under: plant metagenome
Description: partial contains small subunit ribosomal RNA, internal transcribed spacer 1, and 5.8S ribosomal RNA
Source: RNAcentral
UUUCCGUAGGUGAACCUGCGGAAGGAUCAUUAUUGUAUAACCGAGGUGCGAGGGCUGUCGCUGACCCGAAAGGUCGUGCACGCCCGAGUGCCCUCACACACAUUCAUCUCACCCCUAUGUGCACCACCGCGUGGGUCCCUCUUUGGCUUGUUCGGAGGGGGGCUUACGUUUUCACACAAACUUUGUAUGCAGUGUAGAAUGUAUUUUUUGUUUUUGCGAUCACGCAAUCAAUACAACUUUCAACAACGGAUCUCUUGGCUCCC